UACGUAGGUGGCAAGCGUUGUCCGGAUUUACUGGGCGUAAAGAGCGCGCAGGCGGUCGUUCAAGUCGCGUGUGAAAGCCCCCGGCUCAACCCAGGAACUGCGUCCGAUACUGGUUGGCUUGAAUCCGGGAGAGGGAUGUGGAAUUCCAGGUGUAGCGGUGAAAUGCGUAGAUAUCUGGAGGAACACCGGUGGCGAAGGCGACAUCCUGGACCGGUAUUGACGCUUAGGCGCGAAAGCCAGGGGAGCAAACGGG
This 253-nucleotide ribosomal RNA is filed under the name uncultured bacterium. Its description in RNAcentral is "partial 16S ribosomal RNA". It matches the Rfam family "Bacterial small subunit ribosomal RNA", at positions 524 to 776 of the family's 1533-position model. The record is from RNAcentral.